GACGAACGCUGGCGGCGUGCUUAACACAUGCAAGUCGAACGGAAAGGCCCCUUUGGGGGUACUCGAGUGGCGAACGGGUGAGUAACACGUGAGUAACCUGCCCUUGACUUCGGGAUAACUUCAGGAAACUGGGGCUAAUACCGGAUAGGAAUCCUUGCUGCAUGGUGGGGGUUGGAAAGCUUCGGCGGUUUUGGAUGGACUCGCGGCUUAUCAGCUUGUUGGUGGGGUAGUGGCUUACCAAGGCUUUGACGGGUAGCCGGCCUGAGAGGGCGACCGGCCACAUUGGGACUGAGAUACGGCCCAGACUCCUACGGGAGGCAGCAGUGGGGAAUAUUGCACAAUGGGCGGAAGCCUGAUGCAGCAACGCCGCGUGCGGGAUGACGGCCUUCGGGUUGUAAACCGCUUUGAGCAGGGGCGAAGCUUGUGGUGACGGUACCUGCAGAAGAAGCACCGGCUAACUACGUG
RNAcentral lists this ribosomal RNA (465 nucleotides) under uncultured bacterium. RNAcentral's name for it is "partial 16S ribosomal RNA". It matches the Rfam family "Bacterial small subunit ribosomal RNA", at positions 28 to 507 of the family's 1533-position model. The record is from RNAcentral.